RNAcentral lists this ribosomal RNA (1636 nucleotides) under Providencia sp. wls1914. Its description in RNAcentral is "partial 23S ribosomal RNA". It matches the Rfam family "Bacterial large subunit ribosomal RNA", at positions 1329 to 2925 of the family's 2925-position model. The record is from RNAcentral. Lineage: Bacteria; Pseudomonadati; Pseudomonadota; Gammaproteobacteria; Enterobacterales; Morganellaceae.
CCCGCACGCCGGAAGACCAAGGGUUCCUGUCCAACGUUAAUCGGGGCAGGGUGAGUCGACCCCUAAGGCGAGGCAGAAAUGCGUAGUCGAUGGGAAACGGGUUAAUAUUCCCGUACUGGUGAUAAUUGCGAUGGGGGGACGGAGAAGGUUAGGCUGGCCGGGCGACGGUUGUCCCGGUUUAAGGAUGUAGGCAGGUGAAUUAGGCAAAUCCGGUUCACUAUAUGCUGAGGUCUGAUGACGAGUCACUACGGUGGCGAAGUAGCUUAUACCCCGCUUCCAGGAAAAGCCUCUAAGCUCUAGAUUAUCAUUAAUCGUACCCCAAACCGACACAGGUGGUCAGGUAGAGAAUACUCAGGCGCUUGAGAGAACUCGGGUGAAGGAACUAGGCAAAAUGGUGCCGUAACUUCGGGAGAAGGCACGCUGGCAUUAGGUGAAGUGGUUUACCCAUGGAGCUGAAGCCAGUCGCAGAUACCAGCUGGCUGCAACUGUUUAUUAAAAACACAGCACUGUGCAAACACGAAAGUGGACGUAUACGGUGUGACGCCUGCCCGGUGCUGGAAGGUUAAUUGAUGGGGUUAUCCGUAAGGAGAAGCUCUUGAUCGAAGCCCCAGUAAACGGCGGCCGUAACUAUAACGGUCCUAAGGUAGCGAAAUUCCUUGUCGGGUAAGUUCCGACCUGCACGAAUGGCGUAAUGAUGGCCAGGCUGUCUCCACCCGAGACUCAGUGAAAUUGAACUCGCUGUGAAGAUGCAGUGUACCCGCGGCAAGACGGAAAGACCCCGUGAACCUUUACUAUAGCUUGACACUGAACAUUGAGCCUUGAUGUGUAGGAUAGGUGGGAGGCUUUGAAGCGUGGACGCCAGUCUGCGUGGAGCCAACCUUGAAAUACCACCCUUUAAUGUUUGAUGUUCUAACGUAGCCCCAUUAUCUGGGGUGCGGACAGUGUCUGGUGGGUAGUUUGACUGGGGCGGUCUCCUCCCAAAGAGUAACGGAGGAGCACGAAGGUUGGCUAAGCAUGGUCGGACAUCAUGCGGUUAGUGCAAAGGCAUAAGCCAGCUUGACUGCGAGAGUGACGGCUCGAGCAGGUACGAAAGUAGGUCUUAGUGAUCCGGUGGUUCUGUAUGGAAGGGCCAUCGCUCAACGGAUAAAAGGUACUCCGGGGAUAACAGGCUGAUACCGCCCAAGAGUUCAUAUCGACGGCGGUGUUUGGCACCUCGAUGUCGGCUCAUCACAUCCUGGGGCUGAAGUAGGUCCCAAGGGUACGGCUGUUCGCCGUUUAAAGUGGUACGCGAGCUGGGUUUAGAACGUCGUGAGACAGUUCGGUCCCUAUCUGCCGUGGGCGUUGGAAGAUUGAAAGGGGCUGCUCCUAGUACGAGAGGACCGGAGUGGACGCACCACUGGUGUUCGGGUUGUCAUGCCAAUGGCAUUGCCCGGUAGCUAAGUGCGGAAGAGAUAACCGCUGAAAGCAUCUAAGCGGGAAACUUGCCUUGAGAUGAGUCUUCCCUGACUCUUUAAGGGUCCUAAAGGAACGUUUAAGACUAAGACGUUGAUAGGUUGGGUGUGUAAGCGUAGCGAUACGUUGAGCUAACCAAUACUAAUGAACCGUGAGGCUUAACCUGACAACACCGAAGGUGUUU